This 254-nucleotide ribosomal RNA is filed under the name uncultured bacterium. RNAcentral describes it as "partial 16S ribosomal RNA". It matches the Rfam family "Bacterial small subunit ribosomal RNA", at positions 524 to 776 of the family's 1533-position model. The record is from RNAcentral.
UACGUAGGGGGCAAGCGUUGCUCGGAAUCACUGGGCGUAAAGCGCACGUAGGCGGAUUGCUAAGUCAGGGGUGAAAUCCUGGAGCUCAACUCCAGAACUGCCCUUGAUACUGGCAACCUUGAGUCCGGGAGAGGUGAGUGGAACUGCGAGUGUAGAGGUGAAAUUCGUAGAUAGUUCGCAAGAACACCGGUGGCGAAGGCGGCCAACUGGACCAUUACUGACGCUGAGGCGCGAAAGCGUGGGGAGCAAACAGG